This 83-nucleotide transfer RNA is filed under the name Felis catus (domestic cat). It matches the Rfam family "tRNA". From Rfam's summary of the family: Transfer RNA (tRNA) molecules are approximately 80 nucleotides in length. The record is from Rfam by way of RNAcentral. Lineage: Eukaryota; Metazoa; Chordata; Mammalia; Carnivora; Felidae.
GCCUGGGUGGCUCAGUUGGUUGAGUGUCUGACUUCGGCUCAGGUCAUGAUCUCAGUUCGUGGGUUCGAGCCCCACAUCAGGCU